This 30-nucleotide non-coding RNA is filed under the name Mus musculus (house mouse). Lineage: Eukaryota; Metazoa; Chordata; Mammalia; Rodentia; Muridae. The record is from RNAcentral.
UGCAGGUGGUCUGAUGACCUCAUAUUAUUA